Molecule: ribosomal RNA, 402 nt
Filed under: Triticum aestivum (bread wheat)
Lineage: Eukaryota; Viridiplantae; Streptophyta; Magnoliopsida; Poales; Poaceae
Description: partial small subunit ribosomal RNA
Source: RNAcentral
AUGGUUCGAAUUAGAAUUCCACCAUCAAGGGUUCGUGGCCAGCAUGUCCUACUACUUUGGCAAAUGAUGCAGGAGCUUGGGGCACCAUGUCCUCAAUUCUUUGAAGAGAUGCCAGAUGAUGGAACACACUCCUACAGACGUGUAGUUGUGGUGCUCAGCGGUGUUCCAUCAGACAUGGACUUCUAUGUGGAGCUCUCCACAAUGCAGCGGUCAUCCGAUGACACUCUACCCAUGCAGGAGGUUGCCAAGGAAGCUAUGCUUGGACUGCGAGCACGCUUUGGAGAGAAACUGCGCACCACCGGAUACCGUGACUUGCCAGCACUUGAUUCUGGGAGUUUUGGGCAGAACCAUCAGCAAGGACCUAGAGGAGCAAGCCUGGGUGUUGGGUCUUCAUCAGCUUAG